UGAGGAAUAUUGGUCAAUGGUCGCGAGACUGAACCAGCCAAGUAGCGUGCAGGACGACGGCCCUCUGGGUUGUAAACUGCUUUUAGUUGGGAAUAAAAGGCGGUACGUGUACCGCGUAUUGUAUGUACCAUCAGAAAAAGGACCGGCUAAUUCCGUGCCAGCAGCCGCGGUAAUACGGAAGGUCCGGGCGUUAUCCGGAUUUAUUGGGUUUAAAGGGAGCGCAGGCGGACCCUUAAGUCAGUUGUGAAAUACGGCGGCUCAACCGUCGGACUGCAGUUGAUACUGGGAGUCUUGAGUUCACACAGGGAUGCCGGAAUUCAUGGUGUAGCGGUGAAAUGCUCAGAUAUCAUGAAGAA
Molecule: ribosomal RNA, 356 nt
Filed under: uncultured Prevotellaceae bacterium
Lineage: Bacteria; Pseudomonadati; Bacteroidota; Bacteroidia; Bacteroidales; Prevotellaceae
Description: bacterial SSU rRNA
Rfam family: Bacterial small subunit ribosomal RNA
Source: RNAcentral